RNAcentral lists this ribosomal RNA (253 nucleotides) under uncultured bacterium. Its description in RNAcentral is "partial 16S ribosomal RNA". It matches the Rfam family "Bacterial small subunit ribosomal RNA", at positions 524 to 776 of the family's 1533-position model. The record is from RNAcentral.
UACGUAGGGUGCGAGCGUUAAUCGGAAUUACUGGGCGUAAAGCGUGCGCAGGCGGUGAUGUAAGACAGAUGUGAAAUCCCCGGGCUCAACCUGGGAACUGCAUUUGUGACUGCAUCGCUGGAGUGCGGCAGAGGGGGAUGGAAUUCCGCGUGUAGCAGUGAAAUGCGUAGAUAUGCGGAGGAACACCGAUGGCGAAGGCAAUCCCCUGGGCCUGCCCUGACGCUCAUGCACGAAAGCAUGGGGAGCAAACAGG